This 644-nucleotide ribosomal RNA is filed under the name Streptomyces sp. 3134_3. RNAcentral describes it as "bacterial SSU rRNA". It matches the Rfam family "Bacterial small subunit ribosomal RNA", at positions 100 to 758 of the family's 1533-position model. RNAcentral also lists the same sequence under 4 other names. The record is from RNAcentral. Lineage: Bacteria; Bacillati; Actinomycetota; Actinomycetes; Kitasatosporales; Streptomycetaceae.
GAACGGGUGAGUAACACGUGGGCAAUCUGCCCUUCACUCUGGGACAAGCCCUGGAAACGGGGUCUAAUACCGGAUAACACCUGCCCGGGCAUCUGGGUGGGUUAAAAGCUCCGGCGGUGAAGGAUGAGCCCGCGGCCUAUCAGCUUGUUGGUGAGGUAGUGGCUCACCAAGGCGACGACGGGUAGCCGGCCUGAGAGGGCGACCGGCCACACUGGGACUGAGACACGGCCCAGACUCCUACGGGAGGCAGCAGUGGGGAAUAUUGCACAAUGGGCGAAAGCCUGAUGCAGCGACGCCGCGUGAGGGAUGACGGCCUUCGGGUUGUAAACCUCUUUCAGCAGGGAAGAAGCGAAAGUGACGGUACCUGCAGAAGAAGCGCCGGCUAACUACGUGCCAGCAGCCGCGGUAAUACGUAGGGCGCAAGCGUUGUCCGGAAUUAUUGGGCGUAAAGAGCUCGUAGGCGGCUUGUCACGUCGGGUGUGAAAGCCCGGGGCUUAACCCCGGGUCUGCAUUCGAUACGGGCUAGCUAGAGUGUGGUAGGGGAGAUCGGAAUUCCUGGUGUAGCGGUGAAAUGCGCAGAUAUCAGGAGGAACACCGGUGGCGAAGGCGGAUCUCUGGGCCAUUACUGACGCUGAGGAGCGAAA